CUCUUAUGAAUAUUAUCUGUGCAUUUAAUCUCAACAACAAAUUUUAUCCCAGGAGAAGGUUGGGCAGUCUUCCAUAUUAAAACAAAACAAAACAAACAAAAAGAAAGAAAAGCUGUGCCUUAAUCUUUUUUUCUCCCAAGUUUUAUUCAAGGGGUUGGAACAUAGGAUACUUCUGAGCCUGACCUGUCUCCCUUAUCAUUAUCACAAUGCCAUCAACUUUAAGUGAGUUUUGCACUAUCAAUAUUACCCAGAGACUCCUUUGGGGCCUUUUUCUUAAAGUAGGCAUAUUGAUAUUCAAUGGAAGAGGCCCUUUAUAUACUUUUCUUUAGCCUUCCUUGAAGAUCCCUUUGCAGAGGCUGCCUACAAAACACAGGUUGGCCUUAGUUUCUGUCUUUUUCUCUUCUGGGUGCAGUUAUGUAUUCCACCAGUCUCUUCAGGUAUUUAGCUUGAUGGGACACUUUUCCCAUCAAGUAAACAAGCAAUUCUGUUGUAGCAAGAAUUGCUUUGCCCCAGUGAUGAAUAUCCUUUAGCCAAAUGGGGUGUCCUGUCAGAUCUUAAAAGGGGAGACUAUUCCUGUCCCCAGGUCAUAAAAUGGCAUUGCUGGCACCUACUGCCACAUUAUCUGCAGCCAGCAGCCUCCACCCCCCAGGGUAAAAGAGGCUGGAAGGCAGGUUAGAGGCCAUGUUAUCUUUGGCCAUUUUUUCAUAUUCAGCUUUUCUAGAAUAAUUUUCCCCACUUUAGGGCUGGUGUUCUUGACCCACAGUGGGAUGAAUUGUGGCUCCCUGGUGCCAGGCCUAGGGGCCGUACUAGGAAUGCCAGCACUGGGUCUGAAAGAUUUAAAUCUUCUUUAACCCUUUAUUCUGGUCUCCUGCUAUUCUUGCACACCAGAGGCAGUACUUUUUGGCACCUUCAAAUGAGUCCCUGACCGUUCCAGUCACUAAUCAUGCAUCUACAUAAAUGCCUGUACAUACAGAAUCUCUUUUAUAUACUUUAUGCCUGACAGAUCAGCUUCAACUUCAAGAUUGUAUAAUAAUCCAGAAAAAUCAUUCAAAGCUCAGAUUGUGUCACAGUAAACCAUCUUUUCUCUUAGAUAGGCUUAUAAGCAUAGGUGGCCCAUUCAACCAAGAUCUCUCUGCUGAGGAGAUUACCAGUAAGAUCAACACAACAUAGCCCAUGCCUUAAAGGGAAAGUAGCAGAUUAAAAAAAAAAAAAACCCGCAGACAAGAGAGGAUCACCAAAACCAGGGCUAACAGAUGGAAACCUUUAAAAUAGAUGUGAACAUACAAAUUUAUUCCACUUACUUUACCUUUGAAAGACCAACUCCAACUGCAAGAUUAUAAAAUCACUCAGAAAGCAAUUCAAAAGUCUGAUUUAUUUAUUGUAAUAACAAUAAAACAUGAUCUUAGACAGGUUUAUACCUAUAGGUAGCCCUUUCUUCAACUCAUUUACCUCUGACAGACCGUCUCUAAUUGCAUGAUUGUACAAAAAGGAAACAGAGAGACAAGAAAAGAGGAGCCCCAAAACCAUGACUGACAGAUGGAAACCUUUAUGUUUGCCAGCCAUCUUGCAUCAUCAGCAUGAAAAUGGGGUUCCUUGGACAGCCAGGCCUUCCCAGGAAAUCUGAAGAGGGGUCUGCUCUUGAGUCCCACACGGGGUACCAACUUUGUUACUAAAAGCUUGGUCCUUGUCCCUGAUGGCAAUCCAAUAAUGAGGACACAGUUUUGAGAUAAAGGAAAAAGAAGUUCUAUUAAUUUGGUAUCAAAAAAGAAAUACAGAGGACUCCUGUCCCAAAGGCUAUGAUUCUUAACAACCUUUAAUUUUAUUUUUUUUAAAAAAAGGAAAACCACAACACUACCAAUUAAAGGUGGAUGAUACUCUAACAUUGUUUGAAGAUGCAGGCUUCCAUUGACUAUGUAAAAUGUGUUUCUUGUUGAAAAUAAUAAACAAGUGAAGCCCCUUUUGGUUGACAUUUUUAUUUGAUCACAUAUCUGUGAGCAAGAAGCUUCUGUCCAAAUUUUAAAAGUGUAGAUUUAUAGUAUGCAAUAACUGAGAAUAAAUAUUAAAAAAUUUAAAAAAUUACUUCUUCAUAUUUUCUUUAGUCAAAAAUAUAAAUACAGGUUAUUUCAUCUCUCCCCCACACUGCAAAGUGUACAGUUGAGAAACUAAUAAGUCAGAGCAUCAACAAACACAUUUCCCCUAUAAAUAAUAAA
This 2210-nucleotide long non-coding RNA is filed under the name Marmota monax (woodchuck). The record is from RNAcentral. Lineage: Eukaryota; Metazoa; Chordata; Mammalia; Rodentia; Sciuridae.